RNAcentral lists this non-coding RNA (87 nucleotides) under human gut metagenome. Its description in RNAcentral is "TPP riboswitch (THI element)". It matches the Rfam family "TPP riboswitch aptamer (THI element)", at positions 7 to 92 of the family's 105-position model. Rfam says of the family: Vitamin B(1) in its active form thiamin pyrophosphate (TPP) is an essential coenzyme that is synthesised by coupling of pyrimidine and thiazole moieties in bacteria. The previously detected thiamin-regulatory element, thi box was extended, resulting in a new, highly conserved RNA secondary structure, the THI element, which is widely distributed in eubacteria and also occurs in some archaea. Analysis of operon structures identified a large number of new candidate thiamin-regulated genes, mostly transporters, in various prokaryotic organisms. The record is from RNAcentral.
UGUCAGGGGUGCUGGAAACGGCUGAGAUGAACAGAUGGUUCAAACCCUUAACCUGAUACGGAUAAUGCCGUCGUAGGGAGAUAUGUU